AACUUCUAAAAGCAUUUUGCAUACGAACACUCAUUGGUAAUAUGAUAAUUAUACCAUCGAAAAUUUGGAAUAAAUUUAUAAAUACGAGGAAUACAAAGAUAUAUUUUAAAAGAUACAUCGUUUUGUCCCAAUAUAAUUGAUAAAUUUACUGAAUAAUUCCAUUUUAAAAUUCAAAAACAAUGUCAUAUCAAUUAGCUUUAAAGUGAUCAUAAGUAACACACAGCCUAAAAGUAUACCCCAUAAACUUGAAAUACUUUAUGGGCUCUGACCCGAUUGCUGGGAAAUCUCAGAGCUGCCAUAAAAACGCUUUGAUCUACGACGCUGAGGAGGGCAUCAUCGCAAGAGUCCAUUAAUUGGAUAAACUUGUAGAGGGCACUCCUCGCCAUCAACCCUGUCAACGCCUCAGUGUCACUUGCCCCUGUGGCCAGUGGACUUUGAUCCGGCUCUCGACAGUUACAGAAUUAAGAUGGAGAUUAUUGUAAGUCGUCAUUCCGCCCCAAGAAGAAGUACACGCAUCGCAUCACCCUUGAAACCCCUUGAGUUGCCAAUUUAAUUGGAUAACUGAAUUCCGGGCGAGCUUCUCACACUCAUUCUAGUCCCAGAUUCAUUCCCAGUUCACAUUUUCCGAUUUACGCAUUGUUCGCCGUCGAGUUGAUGGAUUCGUAUCUGAAUGGGGCUUGUGUAUCUGUAUCUGUAGCUGUAUUGUAUCUGUAUCUGCCUGCAUGUGUGUGUGUCCCCCACGAAUGAAUAAGGCGGAAAUUUUAAUAUAAACAGUGAAAUUCGAUUCGAGUUUGGUCUUCUGAUUCAUUGUGUCUGCAUAAUUACGGCUGGCUUUUCAAAUGUUUGUCAUAAAUAGUAAUUGAAUACAAGUUGAGCAAUUUGUACAUUUGCUACUCCAGUAACCGCAUGGCCAUCCCUUCAACCCACUUCACCCCUUCCCAGUGGCAAUGUGGUUGCCCAUCAAUCACAGCUGUAAUCACAUCUUUCCUCUGGAAAGCUAUCGAAAAUCAUGCGGCACUUUACUGGCUCAAGGUACUGCCAGUUUAGAGAUCAAAUCUAUUUUUCCACUUACACUCGAACUUCUUAAGGCGUACACCUCGAUGUUAAUUAAUUAAAUUAAAUUGGCAAAUUAGUGGCUACAUUUUCUGACCAAAAACAGAGUGUUGGCCAAGCAGGCGUUGACCAAAAUCGCCAGGAAUGCAAGCGGCAGGGUUAAAAAAUUGUUUCAUCAAUCGAAUAAAUAUGGUUUUGUAGUGCAGGCCGUUAAGGCGAUUCUCUUCAAACACCUAUGUAGCUAGGCGGCCAGAAGAGCUGAAGAGCUCCAAUUAAAAUAAUUAUGAAAUUAAUUCGAGCCAAGCGCGAGCGAUCUCGAAUCCCACAAAUCAUUAGACACGAAACCGAGGUAAAAAAUAAACUAAGCCAAAACUGGCUGCUUCUUGUCGUCAUGGCUUGCAACUCGGCUUAGUGAUGCAAUCGAAAGUGUGUCAACAGCUUUGGCAUCAAGUCACCGCACACAAGUGGAGCUCUUAAUGCCCAAUUGCAGAUCGGUCCGCCUGGCGAUCCAGCCCGGCCAUAAGUGCUGGAUUUUCCGCUUUUCAUUUGCACUUUCCAUCACUGACACCAUGACAUAAUUAUUUUGCCAACCCCCCCGUGCGGGUUUUCCAUCGAAAAAGUGCGCAAAGUAAAUAAAUGAAUAGAAAAAUAUAAUAAACCAGCCAAGCCUGAUUAGACCCCUCGGUUCGAGCCACUGCAACCGGAUUCUGGCCAUGCUUGGUCAACACUUGGCCGCUGCCGUUGUUUUCAUCGCUUUUCCCACUGCGCAGUUGAAAAUGGCCAGGCGGCGGGUUUUGUGGAUUUAAUAGUUUGUUUGUCUGCUCCAAACAAUUGCCUAAAACUAAUAACUAUUAAUUGACACUAAUGGGGAAUCAGUUAUCAUCAUUUAUCACACAAGCAUUCGCACAACUGUGAUGUAAGCGAGCUGGUUCUUUCAUUUUAAAGAGAUUAUGCGCAUACACCACAUGCUCCCAGUAGUUCAAGAACUUGGCAGCCAAGGACGCAAGUGGUGCCUCGGAUGCUUCAGGUCAAAACCGGUCGCUUGCAUCUUGACCAAGUAAAGUGCAUCGGCACCUCCUGCUGCACAGCGCAGCUGCCUCAAAAGCCAAUCCACGAGCUUCCGUUCUCCAUACGAGAAGGACAGGAAACCCCGUUUAGAUUGGCCAGAAUUGCGCAAUGCAUCUGGUCGCGGACAGAACCCAUAUAGCGAGCGAUGUUUGUGAGAAAUGUAAUCAAAGUCGGCCAUCGAAUCGGGGCAAUUUAUGGAUAUCGUGGCGAGCGGCUUCCUGGUUGGGCAAAUCGAAAUCAAAAUCGAAAUCAGGUUUGUGGCGCAGGCUCCCCGGGAUGGUGGAAAAAGUGGCCACGGCGAAGGUGUUGCCACUGGCUGGGAUCGCGGUGACGCAAGAGAUGCCCGCAAAGGCAGAGCCGGCAGUGGAACACCUGCGUCCAUUUGGAUAUUUGGUCAGUUGCCUGGCUCCCUGAUCCGGAGGCAGAAGCAGUUCACAACUCACUCACCUGCACCCUCAUCACCUCGCGCAUUUCCGUCUUGAAGGUGGCGCACCUCGGCGGGAUCUCCAUGCACCAGCUGGAGGUGCGCACUCGCACCGGCUGCAUCUCCGGCACCUGGACAUGCUCCACGUAGGGCUCCUCGCGGAUGCAGAUGUUCCCGGGUCCCUGGAUAGAGGGCAGGGCCACGGCCCCGGCCUCGAUGUCUUUCACGUUCGUGUUGAUCUUCAGGGUGCUGUUCUGUCCUGAUCCCAAAGGUAAAACAAUCGCGAGGAGCAGGAGCAGUUUUCCGAUAAGCUUUUCUCUUAUCAUAUUUGUUAUAUUAUUUUAUUUAUUUUUAACAGCUUAAAAGCAUUCACUUUAUUGUGCGAUUUGCAUAUCUAUCGAGGAUUACUGAUCUUAGAUUUUGUUCUUGAUUGAUUUCCUUGAAAAGUUCCGGAUAUUCUGUUUAUAAAUCGAAGUGUAAGUUCUUAAACUAUUUACUCUAAUUAAACUUUACUAUAUAAUUCCGAUCAACUCUUGGUUCAAAUAAGGAUCCUAUCCAUUUACAACGAUCAAUUUAAUCCAUUUGAUGAGCGCUGCGUGUACGUUUGGAUCGCGAGUCUCGUGAAAACUGUUUCCCCGUUGGCGGCGAUUCUGUUACUCACCCCGAAUGCUCCGAAUGUUCCUUCUCGAAAUAAAGUAAACUACGGAAAGCAGCAACAAAA
Molecule: long non-coding RNA, 3266 nt
Organism: Drosophila yakuba
Lineage: Eukaryota; Metazoa; Arthropoda; Insecta; Diptera; Drosophilidae
Exons: 2
Source: RefSeq, a predicted model, not a curated record